AACUGGAAGAGGAAGAAAAUGAGCAUCUCAGAGCAUUGGACAUGGGAACAUGGAGGAAGGUCUAAACUAGUGUGUCUCUCUACAACUAGGCCAACCUUUUUCUUCGGAAUUUUCUCAAUGCCUCCCAUGCCUGUUGUUCUCAGGUGCUCCUUCCUCUCCCUUAUGAUG
Molecule: microRNA precursor, 168 nt
Filed under: Triticum aestivum (bread wheat)
Lineage: Eukaryota; Viridiplantae; Streptophyta; Magnoliopsida; Poales; Poaceae
Description: MIR2118 microRNA precursor family
Rfam family: MIR2118 microRNA precursor family
Source: Rfam by way of RNAcentral